GAGUUUGAUCUUGGCUCAGAUUGAACGCUGGCGGCAUGCCUAACACAUGCAAGUCGAACGGCAGCACAGCAGAGCUUGCUCUGUGGGUGGCGAGUGGCGGACGGGUGAGUAAUGCAUCGGGAUCUACCCAAACGUGGGGGAUAACGUAGGGAAACUUACGCUAAUACCGCAUACGUCCUACGGGAGAAAGCGGGGGAUCUUCGGACCUCGCGCGGUUGGAUGAACCGAUGUGCGAUUAGCUAGUUGGCGGGGUAAUGGCCCACCAAGGCGACGAUCGCUAGCUGGUCUGAGAGGAUGAUCAGCCACACUGGAACUGAGACACGGUCCAGACUCCUACGGGAGGCAGCAGUGGGGAAUAUUGGACAAUGGGCGCAAGCCUGAUCCAGCAAUGCCGCGUGUGUGAAGAAGGCCUCGGUU
Molecule: ribosomal RNA, 417 nt
Filed under: uncultured bacterium
Lineage: Bacteria
Description: bacterial SSU rRNA
Rfam family: Bacterial small subunit ribosomal RNA
Source: RNAcentral